AGCGAACGCUGGCGGCAGGCCUAACACAUGCAAGUCGAACGAACCCUUCGGAGUUAUUGGCGGACGGGUGAGUAACAGGUGGGAACGUUCCUUUGUGGUUGGCAUAACUCUGGGACACUUAUGCUAAUACCGAAUGGGAGCUUCUGGGGGAUGAUUUAUCGCCAUUAGUGCGGCCCGCGUCUGAUUAGCUAGUUGGGUAGGUUACGGCUCACCAAGGCGACGAUCAGUAGGUGGUCUGUGAGGCUGACCAGCCACACUGAGACUGAGACGCGGCCCAGACUCCUACGCGAGGCAGCAGUGCGGAACCUUGCGAAAUCGGCGGAGGCAUGACGCAGUCAUGCCGCGUGAAUGAUGAAGGUCUUAGGAUUGUAAAAUUCUUUCACCGGGGACGAUAAUGACGGUACCCGGAGAAGAAGCCACGGCUAACUUCGUG
RNAcentral lists this ribosomal RNA (433 nucleotides) under uncultured bacterium. Its description in RNAcentral is "partial 16S ribosomal RNA". It matches the Rfam family "Bacterial small subunit ribosomal RNA", at positions 29 to 507 of the family's 1533-position model. The record is from RNAcentral.